This 201-nucleotide ribosomal RNA is filed under the name uncultured Paenibacillus sp. RNAcentral describes it as "partial 16S ribosomal RNA". It matches the Rfam family "Bacterial small subunit ribosomal RNA", at positions 1183 to 1382 of the family's 1533-position model. The record is from RNAcentral. Lineage: Bacteria; Bacillati; Bacillota; Bacilli; Caryophanales; Paenibacillaceae.
CGUCAAAUCAUCAUGCCCCUUAUGACCUGGGCUACACACGUGCUACAAUGGGCGGUACAAAGGGUCGCGAACCCGCGAGGGGGAGCCAAUCCCAAAAAAGCCGCUCUCAGUUCGGAUUGCAGGCUGCAACUCGCCUGCAUGAAGCCGGAAUCGCUAGUAAUCGCGGAUCAGCAUGCCGCGGUGAAUACGUUCCCGGGCCUU